GGAGGAAAAGAAACUAACUAGGAUUCCCUUAGUAACGGCGAGUGAACCGGGAUGAGCUCAAAUUUGAAAUCUGGCGUCUUUCAGGCGUCCGAGUUGUAAUCUAUAGAGGCGUUUUCCGCGCCGGACCGCGUCCAAGUCUCUUGGAAUAGAGUAUCAAAGAGGGUGACAAUCCCGUACUUGACGCGACAACCGGUGCUCUGUGAUACGUUCUCAAUGAGUCGAGUUGUUUGGGAAUGCAGCUCUAAAUGGGUGGUAAAUUCCAUCUAAGGCUAAAUAUUGGCGAGAGACCGAUAGCGAACAAGUACCGUGAGGGAAAGAUGAAAAGCACUUUGGAAAGAGAGUUAAACAGCACGUGAAAUUGUUAAAAGGGAAACGAUUGAAGUCAGUCGUGUGGGAAGUAUUCAGCCGUCUCUGGCGGUGUAUUUGCUUCUCACGGGUCAACAUCAGUUUGAUCCGGUAGAAAAAGGCGGGAAGAAGGUGGCAUCCUCGGGUGUGUUAUAGCUUCCUGUCAUAUGUGCCGGACCAGACUGAGGAACGCAGCUUGCAGCAAUGCCGGGGUUCGCCCACGUACAAGCUUAGGAUGUUGACAUAAUGGCUUUAAACGACCCGUC
This 611-nucleotide ribosomal RNA is filed under the name Vishniacozyma carnescens. RNAcentral describes it as "LSU rRNA". It matches the Rfam family "Eukaryotic large subunit ribosomal RNA", at positions 52 to 653 of the family's 3401-position model. Lineage: Eukaryota; Fungi; Basidiomycota; Tremellomycetes; Tremellales; Bulleribasidiaceae. The record is from RNAcentral.